CCUACGGGUGGCAGCAGUGAGGAAUAUUGGUCAAUGGACGAGAGUCUGAACCAGCCAAGUAGCGUGAAGGAUGACUGCCCUAUGGGUUGUAAACUUCUUUUAUAUGGGAAUAAAAUGUUCCACGUGUGGGAUUUUGUAUGUACCAUAUGAAUAAGGAUCGGCUAACUCCGUGCCAGCAGCCGCGGUAAUACGGAGGAUCCGAGCGUUAUCCGGAUUUAUUGGGUUUAAAGGGAGCGUAGGUGGAUUGUUAAGUCAGUUGUGAAAGUUUGCGGCUCAACCGUAAAAUUGCAGUUGAAACUGGCAGUCUUGAGUACAGUAGAGGUGGGCUGAAUUCGUGGUGUAGCGGUGAAAUGCUUAGAUAUCACGAAGAACUCCGAUUGCGAAGGCAGUUCACUGGACUGCAACUGACACUGAGGCUCGAAAGUGUGGGUAUCAAACAGGAUUAGAUACCCUAGUAGUC
Molecule: ribosomal RNA, 460 nt
Filed under: uncultured bacterium
Lineage: Bacteria
Description: partial 16S ribosomal RNA
Rfam family: Bacterial small subunit ribosomal RNA
Source: RNAcentral